AUACGGAGGGUGCAAGCGUUACUCGGAAUCACUGGGCGUAAAGCGCGCGCAGGCGGCUUGAUAAGUUGGAUGUGAAAGCCUACGGCUCAACCGUAGAACUGCAUCCAAAACUGUCAGGCUAGAGUGUGGGAGAGGAAGAUGGAAUUAGUUGUGUAGGGGUAAAGUCCGUAGAGAUAACUAGGAAUACCAAAAGCGAAGGCAAUCUUCUGGAACACUACUGACGCUGAGGCGCGAAGGCGAGGGGAGCAAACAGGAUUAGAAACCCCGGUAGUCC
RNAcentral lists this ribosomal RNA (274 nucleotides) under uncultured bacterium. Its description in RNAcentral is "partial 16S ribosomal RNA". It matches the Rfam family "Bacterial small subunit ribosomal RNA", at positions 523 to 796 of the family's 1533-position model. The record is from RNAcentral.